AAGUCGUAACAAGGUUUCCGUAGGUGAACCUGCGGAAGGAUCAUUACAGAGAUCGGGUCCCUUCCCGGGCCCGGACCUCCCACCCCGUGUGUCACGUCUCUCGUGAGGUUGCUUCGGCACCGUCGUCCUCGACGACCGGCCGAGGACCCUGUUCAACCCGUGUUGUAAUCGUGUUGUCCGAGCCUAAUUUUAAUCGUCAAAACUUUCAACAACGGAUCUCUUGGUUCUG
RNAcentral lists this unclassified non-coding RNA (229 nucleotides) under air metagenome. RNAcentral describes it as "partial contains small subunit ribosomal RNA, internal transcribed spacer 1, and 5.8S ribosomal RNA". The stretch from base 1 to 46 matches the Rfam family "Eukaryotic small subunit ribosomal RNA", at positions 1786 to 1831 of the family's 1831-position model. The record is from RNAcentral.